ACUCAGUUGGUAGAGCACAAGGCUCUUAACCUUAUGGUCGUGGGUUCAAGCCCCAU
Triticum aestivum (bread wheat) is the source of this 56-nucleotide non-coding RNA. The record is from Rfam. NCBI's taxonomy places the organism in Eukaryota, Viridiplantae, Streptophyta, Magnoliopsida, Poales, Poaceae.